RNAcentral lists this ribosomal RNA (642 nucleotides) under uncultured bacterium. RNAcentral's name for it is "bacterial SSU rRNA". It matches the Rfam family "Bacterial small subunit ribosomal RNA", at positions 44 to 718 of the family's 1533-position model. The record is from RNAcentral.
GUGCGUAACACAUGCAAGUCGUGCGGGCGGGGGCUUCGGCUUCCGUCAGCGGCGGACGGGUGAGUAACACGUGAGUCACCAACCCUCCAGUGGGGGAUACCCGGCGGAAACGCUGGUUAAUCCCGCAUACGUUGCUUCGGCAAGAAAGCCGUAAGGCGCUGGUGGACGGGCUCGCGGUCGAUUAGCUAGUUGGUUGGGGUAAUGGCCCACCAAGGCGACGAUCGAUAGCUGGUCUGAGAGGAUGAUCAGCCACACUGGGAUUGAGAACGGCCCAGACUCCUACGGGGGGCAGCAGUGAGGAAUCUUCGUCAAUGGGCUAAGGCCUGAACGAGCAACGCCGCGUGGAGGACGACGCCUUUCGGGGUGUAAACUCCUUUUCUGGGGGACGAGAACGGACGGUACCCCAGGAAGAAGUCUCGGCUAACUACGUGCCAGCAGCCGCGGUAAUACGUAGGAGACGAGCGUUGUCCGGAGUUACUGGGCGUAAAGGGCGCGCAGGCGGCCGCCCCGCGUGUGUGGUGAAAGCUCCUGGCUUAACUAGGAGAGGUCCAUGCAGACGGGGCGGCUUGAGCGUCGGAGAGGGGCAUGGAAUCCGGGUGGAGCGGUGAAAUGCGUAGAGAUCCGGAGGAACACCAAUGGCGA